UACGUAGGGGGCAAGCGUUGUCCGGAAUUAUUGGGCGUAAAGCGCGCGCAGGCGGCUGUUUAAGUCUGGUGUUUAAACCCAGGGCUCAACCUUGGGUCGCACUGGAAACUGGGCAGCUUGAGUGCAGAAGAGGAAAGUGGAAUUCCACGUGUAGCGGUGAAAUGCGUAGAGAUGUGGAGGAACACCAGUGGCGAAGGCGACUUUCUGGGCUGUAACUGACGCUGAGGCGCGAAAGCGUGGGGAGCAAACAGG
This 252-nucleotide ribosomal RNA is filed under the name uncultured bacterium. RNAcentral's name for it is "partial 16S ribosomal RNA". It matches the Rfam family "Bacterial small subunit ribosomal RNA", at positions 524 to 776 of the family's 1533-position model. The record is from RNAcentral.